CACCAAGGCGACGAUCCGUAGCUGGUCUGAGAGGAUGAUCAGCCACACUGGAACUGAGACACGGUCCAGACUCCUACGGGAGGCAGCAGUGGGGAAUAUUGGACAAUGGGCGCAAGCCUGAUCCAGCCAUACCGCGUGGGUGAAGAAGGCCUUCGGGUUGUAAAGCCCUUUUGUUGGGAAAGAAAUCCAUCUGGUUAAUACCCGGGUGGGAUGACGGUACCCAAAGAAUAAGCACCGGCUAACUUCGUGCCAGCAGCCGCGGUAAUACGAAGGGUGCAAGCGUUACUCGGAAUUACUGGGCGUAAAGCGUGCGUAGGUGGUCGUUUAAGUCCGUUGUGAAAGCCCUGGGCUCAACCUGGGAACUGCAGUGGAUACUGGGCGACUAGAAUGUGGUAGAGGGUAGCGGAAUUCCUGGUGUAGCAGUGAAAUGCGUAGAGAUCAGGAGGAACAUCCAUGGCGAAGGCAGCUACCUGGACCAACAUUGACACUGAGGCACGAAAGCGUGGGGAG
This 510-nucleotide ribosomal RNA is filed under the name [Frankia] sp. CeCP1. Its description in RNAcentral is "bacterial SSU rRNA". It matches the Rfam family "Bacterial small subunit ribosomal RNA", at positions 266 to 768 of the family's 1533-position model. The record is from RNAcentral.